AAGUUUAAUUGGCUUGAACAACCAGCAGCCAAGGUCCAAAAUUCUUCUAAAUGAAGAUCAAUCCACACGGUCCGUUUCAAGUAAUUUUAGUUAAUCGCCAUCAAAGUUCUGCUUGCAAACAUUUUUUAUCGUCUAAUUUCUAUGUGUGAUGGUAAGUAACCCCCAUUUUCAACUGAGAUGUUGUGAGUUCGAGUCUCCCCAAGAGCAAAGGUGGGAAGUUCUUGGAGGAAAGGAUGUCUAGGGUCUAUUUGGAAACAGCCUCUCUACCCCAGGGUAGGGGUAAGGUCUGCAUACAUGCUACCCUCCUCAGACCUCACUAAGUGGGAUUAUACUGGGUUGUACUUUUAGACAAGAGGGGUUGCUUAUUCCAACCGAGAAGUUGUGAGUUCGAGUCUCCCCAAGAGCAAGGUAAGAAGUUCUUGGAGGGAAGAAUGUCGGGGGUCUAUUUGGAAACAGCCUCUCUACCCCAAGGGAGAGGUAAGGUCUGCGUACAUACUACCCUCCCCAUAAAGUAGUUGUUGUUGUAAUUUCUACGUGUGAUUAGCAUAUACAAACUAUAGACAGCAGCAUCAUAAGAAAUAGACACAUAUAAUGAAGUAGAUCACACUCAAAGACAAACAAAAAGCUCAUUCGAAACCAACAGAAAUGCACAUUCAAUAUCAGUCAUGGAACAAAGAAACAAGUCAUAUACAUACCUACAACUGGACGUAAACAACAUAAACAGCACAACAAAACAUACCCGGGAACUUUAUCGACCCUCGACGGAACUACGAACGGACCUCGACGGAUUGAAUCUGAAAACCUCUCACGUUCAUAUCACCAUUUCUGUUGUGCGCGUGUACUGCUGUUUCCGUCGCGUUCUUGGGCAGCAAAGAUGAAAGGGAUCGUUUGGACGUGAAGUAGACGAGAAGGGCUGUUUGGUUGCAGCUGAUUGUUGGUCGUGGGCGAGGUGGUUUCGUUGGGGUGGUCGACUAGUGACGUGUUUGGUGGACGAAGACGCAGCUUGGGGUCGUUUGGUUGGUUCAGCUGGUGGUCGACUAUGGUUGACGUCGAAGGUGGUCUGUUCGACGGGCAGCAGUGACGCAGCAGAAGCAGAAACGACCUGGGGGCUGUUUGGUCGUGUGCUAGGCUGACGAUGGAGGACGAAGCAGCUGGAGGUUU
RNAcentral lists this long non-coding RNA (1161 nucleotides) under Nicotiana benthamiana. RNAcentral's name for it is "long non-coding RNA (NBEN_LNC004295)". The record is from RNAcentral. Lineage: Eukaryota; Viridiplantae; Streptophyta; Magnoliopsida; Solanales; Solanaceae.